UAACACGUAAACAACCUGCCUUCAGGAUGGGGACAACAGACGGAAACGACUGCUAAUAACCGAAUAAGUUCCAAGAGCCGCAUGGCCCAUGGAAGAAAAGGUGGCCUCUACCUGUAAGCUAUCGCCUGAAGAGGGGUUUGCGUCUGAUUAGCUGGUUGGAGGGGUAACGGCCCACCAAGGCGACGAUCAGUAGCCGGUCUGAGAGGAUGAACGGCCACACUGGAACUGAGACACGGUCCAGACUCCUACGGGAGGCAGCAUG
Molecule: ribosomal RNA, 262 nt
Filed under: uncultured bacterium
Lineage: Bacteria
Description: partial 16S ribosomal RNA
Rfam family: Bacterial small subunit ribosomal RNA
Source: RNAcentral